Molecule: long non-coding RNA, 332 nt
Organism: Sinocyclocheilus rhinocerous
Lineage: Eukaryota; Metazoa; Chordata; Actinopteri; Cypriniformes; Cyprinidae
Exons: 3
Source: RefSeq, a predicted model, not a curated record
GGAGCUUAACUCUGCAGGACACCGGCCCUCCAGGAACGAGUUUGGAGACCCCUGAUCAAAACAUUUAGAGCGGUCAGAUCAGAUAUGUCAAUGGCGAGAGUUUGGGUGUAGCUACUGAGCCAACCAAAACACUGGUGACGCACCAAAGCCCUUCUUCCAUGAAAUGUCAAAGAGGAAUGUCUACUAGAAGUGCAAUAUUAUAGCUGUGCUCACACAGAGAUGUAAUGCGCUGAAAGGCUGAUCUUUGACCUUUGAGAUUUACAGCUUGAGAAAACCGAUGAGGUGAUAAACGCAUGAUGGAUAAAUCAAGGCAAAUAUUGGAAAUAUGUUUU